ACAUAGACGAGGAUUGAUCGUAUUGCAGCCCCCUAUUCACAUUACCUCAAAGUGCCUUUAACCGGCGCAGAGGUGCGAAGAUAAAAUUGUCUGACGCUUUAAUCCACGCCGGAGGGGUUGGAAAAGAAAGAGGCAGAAAUGGUCCUAAAAGAACCGAAAAUCCACACAAUAGCUGUGGGAAUCUGGUCAGAGUUACUCAUUGCGGGCUCUUCCCUGGAAAUCCGUCAAUUAGAAAUAAGAGCAUUAUUAAACGGAACUGGCGGAUUUCUUUAAAGAUUUGGCCGAUGUUCUAAUUCAACACGUAUGAAACAUUGUAAUCAACACCAUUGACAUAAACUGCUUGGAGAUAUCCGGCUGUUAAAACUUAAAUAUUUUGUAAAGCUACUUGAGUGACGUCUGUGAAAGUGAGCUUGAAAAUCGGAUAUCUUGAGGUAAUUUUCAUUCGUCUAAGAUUCGUCCUGAGAUAAUUACUUUUAAUGUCAAAAAGAUUCAGUUUAAUAUCAUCUCUAUUAGACUCUUGGCUAGGUAAUUAAAGGUGCAGAUUAAACCAGCGGGAAACAGAUGGCAUUUACUUACACUGAUUCAUUCAGUAAACAAUGAAAAAGUCAAUGGAACAGCCCUGGAACAAAUGAAACCUUAAAGACCACUUACAUUAGCAGGUACAUGAGGACUGUCAUCUGUCAAAAGGAGAGAGAGAACAGAUAAUAAACACAAGGGUAGAUCCAGAUAAAAAGUACUCGGAUAAGCAAGAAUAUUGGGCAAUUUUGUUGCCCAAUUAACAGCCUAAAGCGAGAAUAUUUGCUGGAAUAGGAAUACGUUUCAAAGGAUAAGUACGUAAUUUGACUAAAAUCAAACAAUGUACAUGUGUCAGUGAGCUGUCAGUGCAUUUGAAAGAGUACAUUUAGUAGAUGCUUUGUUGAACAGAUACCAACACGCGAAUUUACCGUUUAUAAUAGAAAGAGCAGAAAACAGGAUACAAUAAAUACCGAUAACGAAGUUUGAAUGUUGUAAAGAAACCGACUUCCAACCUAACGCCUGACUCAAUGUAGACGCUACUGCGCCUUUCUAUGUUUCUGCUUUUUACAAUUACAACUGCGGUCACCGGCACCACCAAAAGUGGUCAAUACCGUUUCAGUUAAACUAGACGAACGUUACAUCUCUGAAAUGAAUACACACACACACACGUUUUAUUUUUCCGUAGGAAGAUUGGUUUGAAAAUAAGUUGUACAUUUUGAUGAUUUUAUAUUUGGUUGCUUUUAGUUUUAACGACCGCGAACAACGAAUUAUCAUAUUUGAUGGCACAUACAAAAAGGCAUUUGUUGGAGAUUUACAAAUGAAUCAAUAUUCAGCAGGUCGGGUCGCAUCUGUGGGAGAGAAACAGAGUUUAACGUUUCAGGUCGACGACCCUUCAGGAGAAGGGUUACAUGCUGAUGAAGGGUCCUCGACCUGAAACCUUUCCAGCGCUUCCUGUGUUAUUAUCGUUUUUGUAAUGUUUGUCAAUACAUCAUUCUCUGUCUAUUAUAUCUGUAAACAGUCUAAUGCAGAACCGAAAUAGAUAACUACUGACAAUUAUAUAGUUCACCGAUAGCCACAGGUCGCCUAAUGGUUGAAACUGAUUCAAUUGUAUGUUUGCGAUUCAGCCAAUAUUUGGUAACGUUGACUUGACUUCCCCGUUUGGUGAAAUGAUGAUUACAUUUUAUAACAAGCACAAUGUUCAGAUAAAUGCAGUUAAAAAAUUUAACAUGAAAACUUUAACAAAGCACUACGCUUACAUUGUUACUGACUUCCGGUUAAAGAUUAUUUACAUGGAUACACUCUCAUCUCUGAACUAAUUGACUGUUUGAUUUUCGCCAAAGUCAAUGAGUAUUGAACUGAAAUGAAAGUCAAAACCGGGAGUUGUGUUACAACAAUUAUUUUCAACUGAUCAAUGAAAACCCUUUAAUCUCUUCAUUGUUUUAAUAAUUUCUUAAAACCCAUUUAGUUCAAUGGACGUAAGUGUUUAGCUUAUGUAGUCCUGAGCCUGUUUGGUAAAGGGUUAAGUUCGGUGAUAAGUUAUUUGCAACCUUCUUUUUCUCUUCACAGGUGCUGACUGUCCGGUUGUGUAUUUCCAUAAUUUUCUCUUCAAUUAAUGUUUUAAUGAAUCCAUUUAUUCAAGCGUUACCAAUUAUUAAGGCCACUGUGCUUUUUUU
This is a long non-coding RNA of Leucoraja erinaceus (little skate), 2189 nucleotides long. RefSeq lists it as uncharacterized. The transcript is spliced from 3 exons. Lineage: Eukaryota; Metazoa; Chordata; Chondrichthyes; Rajiformes; Rajidae. The record is from RefSeq and is a predicted model, not a curated record.